Non-coding RNA from Nicotiana tabacum (common tobacco), 1872 nucleotides. The record is from RefSeq and is a predicted model, not a curated record. NCBI's taxonomy places the organism in Eukaryota, Viridiplantae, Streptophyta, Magnoliopsida, Solanales, Solanaceae.
CACCAACAAGGUUUCCAGUUGACUAUAGCCGCCACCGGUAAACCCAGUGACAUUCAGAAUGUGUUCCCGGCGGAACCUCCUCGUCCUGUACAUUAUUUUGUAACUAAGGGUUGUUUCCAUGAUAAGCAUAUGUUUAAGUAGAUUUAUAUUUGUUUAAGUAGAUUUAGACUAAGGUUUGUUAAAAAAGAACCUUAAAGAACUGAAUACCGAAUAGUAUAUCUCUUUUAAAUGGGACAAUGGAGCUCUAUCUUAGAUCUGCUCCCACAAUUGCCUGAUACUUUGUUUUAUCAGCUACAAGUAAGUUCUUAGUCUACAUCUGGUCCAAUAUUUGGAUAGGUUAGUAUUUUGUAGAUUGAAUUGGUAUGGAGCAACUUCUUUUUGAUAGUGCUAAUCACUUUGCGUGUAGUUUAUGUCAGAAUAAAUUUUUCUUUUUUAAUCAGUGAUGAGAUGAAGAUAAAACAAAGUAACUUUUCAUUUAAUAUUUAAAAGAAUUUCCCUGCUUUCUAAGCAAGUCAAGGGGGCUACAUUGCAACUCUGUUGUUGUUAUCAUAAGAUCACAAUUUCAGGACUACAUUGAAAAUGUGCCGUUAGCAUAAGAUCUCGAUUUCAGUUGUGAGGUGUCAUUAUGUAUCAUAUAAGUAGGCUUGCAGAAAAUAUCUUAUUUGAUAUAUGCAGGUAUACCUGCAUUUACUGUUCUAUCAAGGUAUCAAAUGUGAUCUAACAUUGUUUGUAGGGUAAAAAAGAGUCAUUAGUAGUGGUCACUCAGCUUUAUGAACUAGCUAUUUCAAGCUAGUUGGUUGAGCUAUUCUGGAUACAUAAGUGUGUAAUAUUAUUGAGAAAAUUAGGUUGGACGAAAUGCUAUCAUGAGUUGUUCUCUUGGGUUCUCUCGUUUUUGGCUGUUGACUUAUACUUCUUUGCUCAUUAGUUUUGAACUUAAUUUGGUGAAAAAAAAUCUCCUGAUUUCAGUCUGUUUGCUGUCAAAAAGUUCAGCUCUGACCUGCUUUUGCCCAUAUAUUUUUCCCUCUUUCUUUGACAAGUAGCUGUAAGAUGAGUUAAAAUCUUUGGAAUUUUGUUAAGCUUCAUUUUGUUUGGUCCAUGCAGAUUCUGCUUUUUUAGGUGCAGUUGUUUCAAGUUAUAAUGUGAUGGAUGUUUUGACAUUCAAUAUCGUCAUUGCUCUUUUACCAGUACAUGUUUGUUUUACAGAUCAGAAACUGUUGAGACUUUAUCAUUUAAUGGCUGCAGUUAAAUAAAACUCAUAUCAAGCCAUAAAUUGCUCUAAUGGAUCUGUUUUGCUGAGCAAUUGAUGUUUAAAAUGUUACUUGGAGGAAGCCUAUCAGCAACUUUUUGAGGAAUGGCGUCAAACCGAUUCCGAAGAUGGUAGCUCAACCCAAGUAUCACUCAAUGAUGUAGCUUCAAUAUGGUCGCAGGUGGUUGGUGGCGCAAAUAAAGGUAGAACCUACGGUCUUGGAUCACAAUAUUCCGUAGGUCGUUCUACGACAUUGUUGUCUGGUGAUGCGAGUUAUUCGCAAGAUCACGAAGAGGUGGAAGCAUUACGAAAAGAAGUUAAAGAGUUGAAGGAGGAACGGAAAGAAGAUCGCGCAAAUUUUAACAAAUUGCAAAGUCUAGUGGAGAAAUUUAUGAGCGGACGUCCAUUUGGUCCUUUGAAUGGCGAGGAUGGUGGGGAUAAUGAGUUUUAGUUUGUUAUGGUUAUGAUGUUUGAGACAUUAUUAUUUGUUGUAGUUGGAUGUUUAGACUUGGUAAUGUUUACACUUGACUAUGAUUAUAAUAUUUUAGACUAGAUUGAAUGGUGCUAGAAUAUUUAACUCUUUUUGGAUCUUUUAGUUACAAAAUUUAUGUUUGGCAUUUUAUGGA